Molecule: ribosomal RNA, 756 nt
Filed under: uncultured bacterium
Lineage: Bacteria
Description: bacterial SSU rRNA
Rfam family: Bacterial small subunit ribosomal RNA
Source: RNAcentral
CUCCUACGGGAGGCAGCAGUAAGGAAUAUUGGUCAAUGGACGCAAGUCUGAACCAGCCAUGCCGCGUGCAGGAAGACGGCCCUACGGGUUGUAAACUGCUUUUGCAGGGGAAUAAACCUCGAUACGUGUAUCGAGCUGAAUGUACUCUGAGAAUAAGGAUCGGCUAACUCCGUGCCAGCAGCCGCGGUAAUACGGAGGAUCCAAGCGUUAUCCGGAUUUAUUGGGUUUAAAGGGUGCGUAGGUGGCCUGUUAAGUCAGGGGUGAAAGACGGUAGCUUAACUAUCGCAGUGCCCUUGAUACUGAUGGGCUUGAAUAAACUAGAGGUAGGCGGAAUGUGACAAGUAGCGGUGAAAUGCAUAGAUAUGUCACAGAACACCAAUUGCGAAGGCAGCUUACUAUGGUUUUAUUGACACUGAGGCACGAAAGCGUGGGGAUCAAACAGGAUUAGAUACCCUGGUAGUCCACGCCCUAAACGAUGAAUACUCGAUGUUGGCGAUAUACGGUCAGCGUCUAAGCGAAAGCGUUAAGUAUUCCACCUGGGGAGUACGCCCGCAAGGGUGAAACUCAAAGGAAUUGACGGGGGCCCGCACAAGCGGAGGAGCAUGUGGUUUAAUUCGAUGAUACGCGAGGAACCUUACCCGGGCUUGAAAGUUAGUGAAUAAAGCAGAGACGCUUUAGUCCUUCGGGACACGAAACUAGGUGCUGCAUGGCUGUCGUCAGCUCGUGCCGUGAGGUGUUGGGUUAAGUCCCGCAACG